Molecule: ribosomal RNA, 253 nt
Filed under: uncultured bacterium
Lineage: Bacteria
Description: partial 16S ribosomal RNA
Rfam family: Bacterial small subunit ribosomal RNA
Source: RNAcentral
UACGGAGGGGGCUAGCGUUGUUCGGAAUUACUGGGCGUAAAGCGCACGUAGGCGGCUUUGUAAGUUAGAGGUGAAAGCCCGGAGCUCAACUCCGGAACUGCCUUUAAGACUGCAUCGCUUGAACGUCGGAGAGGUAAGUGGAAUUCCGAAUGUAGAGGUGAAAUUCGUAGAUAUUCGGAAGAACACCAGUGGCGAAGGCGACUUACUGGACGACUGUUGACGCUGAGGUGCGAAAGCGUGGGGAGCAAACAGG